RNAcentral lists this ribosomal RNA (694 nucleotides) under uncultured bacterium. RNAcentral describes it as "bacterial SSU rRNA". It matches the Rfam family "Bacterial small subunit ribosomal RNA", at positions 32 to 715 of the family's 1533-position model. The record is from RNAcentral.
AACGCUAGCUACAGGCUUAACACAUGCAAGUCGCGGGGCAGCAUGAAUUUAGCUUGCUAAAUUUGAUGGCGACCGGCGCACGGGUGAGUAACGCGUAUCCAACCUUCCCUUAUCCACGGGAUAGCCCGUCGAAAGGCGGAUUAAUACCGUAUGAGGUCAUUUGAUGGCAUCUGAUUAUGACGAAAGGUUUGGCGGAUAAGGAUGGGGAUGCGUCCGAUUAGCUUGUUGGCGGGGUAACGGCCCACCAAGGCGACGAUCGGUAGGGGUUCUGAGAGGAAGGUCCCCCACAUUGGAACUGAGACACGGUCCAAACUCCUACGGGAGGCAGCAGUGAGGAAUAUUGGUCAAUGGGCGAGAGCCUGAACCAGCCAAGUAGCGUGCAGGAUGACAGCCCUACGGGUUGUAAACUGCUUUUAUGAAGGAAUAAUGAGGGCCACGUGUGGCCCGUUGCAUGUACUUCAUGAAUAAGGACCGGCUAAUUCCGUGCCAGCAGCCGCGGUAAUACGGAAGGUCCGGGCGUUAUCCGGAUUUAUUGGGUUUAAAGGGAGCGUAGGCCGCCCCGUAAGCGUGUUGUGAAAAGCCGUGGCUCAACCAUGGUCGUGCAGCGCGAACUGCGGGGCUUGAGUGUGCGGAAAGUGGGCGGAAUUCGUGGUGUAGCGGUGAAAUGCUUAGAUAUCACGAAGAACUCCGAUUG